Molecule: long non-coding RNA, 5134 nt
Organism: Vespula vulgaris
Lineage: Eukaryota; Metazoa; Arthropoda; Insecta; Hymenoptera; Vespidae
Exons: 17
Source: RefSeq, a predicted model, not a curated record
UCUGUGAAAAGUUUAUCGCAAUAAGAAAAAUACAAAGAAAUAUAAAUGUUAUUUAUAUAUCAUAUAUAUUCAAUUCCAUAAGUAUAAACUUUUUUGAGUAAAACUCAUUAGAUUGAGUUUUUUGAAGCCUCUACUAUAUGUAUGAAGUUAAUGUAUUAUUUUUUUUAACAACAAAGAGACAAAUUGAAAUCUAUGAAAAUAUUAUUUUAUGAUAGAAGAUCAAAUCAUUAUUUCACAUGUUUUUUAUGUUAUAUGUUGACGACACAAACACCGUAACAUGCACGUAUUUCGAAUCUGUCGAGAUCGAGAGAUCAUUUGCAAAAUGUUGUUAAAUAAAACUUCGAAUUGCACGUUAACUUCACAUCAAACAAAAUCUCAUUAUUAUUUAUCUAUUUUUUUCAUUAAUUACAGAUAUUUUUAUAAAUAAUUACAGAGCACACAGGGAAGAAACGUACCGGAUAUUUAUCAUGAACUAAAAGAAACAGGAAACUCUGACCCUCUGGCGAAGAUAUUUUCAACAAAAAUUUGAUUUUACCGACCGAACCAAUAUAUUUAAACUAUAGAUGUCGCUAAAGGUUUAUUUCUUGUAAUGGUUCUAAGGAACUAUUUUGCGUAAUUGGCGGAUUAAGAGUGAUGUCUUCUUUCGACUUCUACAAGAUUUCCAGGAUCUACUACGUAAGUCAUCAAUUUCGGUUAUUCCCCGCCAAAAAAAGAUGGCGGCGAUUCUCGCUCGCAUUAAACGUCCGUCCGGUGCAAUAUAAUAUUUCAAGAAGAAAAGCUCACCAAGGAGAAAAUAAAAUCGCGGUAUGCUGCCACCAAAACGUUUGGAUUUAUUUCACGCGACCUCGAAGCAGGAUUGUGUCAGGAGGUGAACCAGAGCGAUGGAUUAUUUAUCGGGACAUCUCUCGUUCCGUUCUUCUCAUUCCAUUCUUCUUCCCCUCAUCCCUAUUUCUCAAAGCUCCGUGCGUCAUCCGGCGUCUCCCCGGGGAUGCAGGAAACAAUGUCAUCUAUCUUCCAGCGUGAUCCACGUCCGGUGCAUCAUGCUGGAAUUACCGGUACUAAUACACACUGUGCUAUCGUAUAGCCAUACAAGGAUCUAAGAUUAACAUUUACAUCUCUGAUAGAGAUCCUACCUAACUAAAUUACAACACGAAGUCGAUCUUCUUUACGCUUCUUUUUGUUUCAUGAUUUUUUAUCGAUCUCGUUUCUCUGAUCUCAUUUCGAUAUUUAUGAAAAUAUUGAUUGAUAAAUGAUAAAAGUGCAAAUAACAAGAUGAAUGAUUUUGAAAAAAGAUACACACACGUAAAUAUAUAUGCAUAUAUAUAUACCUAUAUGCAUGCAAGCAUACAUACAGAUCUACAAAGUAGAUCAGUUGCUUCUUGCGAAGAAGGAAUGAACAUAACGGUGAAAAGCGACGAUUUUCCUGAGAAAAUUUUCAACGCACGGAUCUCACUUGAUAGCAGUGCAAGAAUACUUUUAACGGAUGUUCGAUUAUACAAAACUUUAUUGUCUAUGCGUAAAAGAGUCUUCACGGAUUCUGUAGAAAUUUAAAGCGGCGAUGGUGAUUUAUUCAUCGUUGAAAUAAAUUAUGAGAAUUAUGGACUUUAAGCAAACUCAUGGGGCGUGAUUUAUUUGCUCGUAAAUUAAUCCAUUAUAUAGUGAUACAAAUUUUGUAAAGUGAGAUAUAGGAAGUAACGAAACUGGCAGAUUGGUGUCGUACACGCAACGAGGAAACUGGUUGACAGCUGUCUAAGAGUUUUCACCGCGACGACGAAGACGACGACGACGAAGACGACGACAACGACGACGACGACGACGACGACGACGACGACGGCGACGGUGCUAUCUCCAUAGCUGGAUCAAUUUCCUGGAUCCUUUUCGUGGAAGAAGGACAAGAUCCUCGAGGUUCUACACCACGUUAUCGGAAAUUCUUCUCUUUCCUCUAUCGUCUCACCAACCUAUAUAGAUUCGAGAGUACACACGUACACACAUUUUGAUUUGCUCGGGAGAUGAAAGGGAGCGAGAUAGAUCGAAGACACAAAGACGUUUUCCAAGAGCUAGAAAGAAUUUAGAAAGAGACAAAAAAAAAGAUGAGGAUAAAAAGUAGAAGAUGAUGAAAUAAAAAUAAUUUCGCAGUAUUACAAGCGAGUCCAACUCAACGUUGGAUCAUAGACAAAAAGGAAAAGGAUCCUAAUUGAAUGUUGAUCAACUUUACUCACGCUCUUGGAAAUAUUCAAUAAUUUCGCGUUGACGUAUCCCAGGAAAGCAUAUUAACACGUCGACUACGUUUGGAACGUAAUCUACGAGUUAUGCAUCUCGCAUCUAAUUUAUUUUCCAUUCCGCUCUAGUUCCUCUUAGUAGAACAUGUCAUCAUCAGUGCUAGAUCCUAUCUUAAGAAUCGUAUUCCGGUUUUAGGUGAAACAUACGUUGAGGAAUAGCUAGAGCUCCCUUGGAUGCCUAAUUCGAGAACGAACGUUGCCAUUAGUGGUCGAGUGCAUUCGUGUUUGUGAAAAUUUCAGCCAAAAAGAAAAACUAAGAAACUGAGAAAAAUAGAGAGCGAAAGAGAAAGAGACAAUGUUGGAUUGGUUUCGAUUGUCUUGAGAAAAAUAGUAGAUCGGCCAGGUGGACAGUAAAUAAUCUUAGAUCGCAAGGAAACAUCCUUUGAGGUGUCGUUCUACUUUUUCAAUAGGAAAAGGGUUGACAAACUCGUCUUGUUUGUUAUUACCUACGUUCCUUUCCUCGUUGUACAUCGUAAUACUCUCCUCUUGUACCUACGUUUUUCCUUCCUGAGAAACUUCAAUAUUUGCCGUAGUAACGACGUAGAAGAAUUUUUAUUUGCUUCAUAAAAAGAAAAGAAGAGAAAAGGAAAGAAAAGAAAAGAAAAGAAGAAGAAGAAGAAGAAGAAGAAAAAGGAAAAGAGAAAAAAAAAGAAGAAGAAAAAAAAUAUAAGGACCACCUCUCCAGCUGCAUAUCAAUCUAUGUAAAGACAAUAUGCAUCGAUCUUUAUCUUUGCUGUAAUUUCCUUUCGGUUGAAAAUCAAAGGAUAGAAACAGAGAAGAAGGAUUUUUAUGUAUCUACUACUGAAAGAAAUGAAAGAGAGAGAGAGAGAGAGAGAGAGAGAGACAGAGAGAGAAAGAAAGAAAGAGAAAAAGAAAGAAAAAAAAGAAAGAGUGGUAUGGUAGAAAAGGAACUGGUAUGGUUUGAAAGCUUCGGCGAAAAAAUUGAGAACAACGUCAUUCCUGAAACAGACGACAGAUCAUUCGGAGUCGUACUAGUCUAGUCUACGAUGCAAUGUAUCCACUUCCUCGCUACGCUACAUUUCUCUGAUUUCGUAUCCCGUGUAUCCCAUAGGAAUUCUAUGCGCAGAACGUUCGUUCUUAUUUACUCUCGACUCUCGACCCAUCGUCAUCAAGAUCUUACCAGUGCGGCGAUUUCGUAUCGCACGACUGAAUUCGUCCCUACUAUUCGAAAAUUUAUCUUUCACGUACAUACAUUCUAACUAUAUUUAGCAAGUUGAUUAAAUAACGGAACGAGAAUCGUCCGGGUUUGAAAAUUUAUGAUCACCGGAGAUGAUCAAGAGUAUUCGAGUGGACUGCGAUUCGAUUCCUAAUUCGCUCAAUUUCGGAUGCAAUUACCAUGUCAACGCGGUUAGCUUAUCGAUCACUUCGAUUCGAUCACAUUCGACGAAUGAAGUUUGUACGAUGAUCGAUGAUUUAUCUCGAUCAAGAGUAUUCCUUUGUUCUGAUCAAUGAAAAAUUCUCAACAUCGAGCAGCUAUCAAAGGAAAUCGUGUAUUACUGGUUGGUUACAUGGAACAUAUUUGCUGAAAUUUGUCCUGGUUACUGGCAAAUGCAUCGCUUGUUAUCCUAUUAUCUGGAUUAUGGUGCGUUAUGUGGAGAUCUAAAAGAGAGAGAGAGAGAGUAGAGGAAUACGCUCGUAUACCUGAAAGGAUCAUUUCCCGGUUAAACGAAAGAGAGAACGUUACACUUUUGUACGUUUACGUACGUCCGCCUAUAAAUAACCGACGGCCGCUUUCCGGACAGUCUUGUUAACGUAAAAAGAGCGAGCGAAAUGGUCACUGUACCGACGGACGAACGACCUUUGCAAAAAAAUAAAAAAAGAAAAAAGAGAACAACUAGAGAAACAGAGAGAAAAAGAAAGAUAGAAAAAGACAGUAAAAGACAGACAGACAGAGAAAGAAAGAAAAAGAGAAAGAUAGACACACACAGAGAGAGAGAGAGAGAGAGAGAGAGAGAGAGAGAAAGAUAGACUAAAAAGAAAAAAAUUGACGAGUAGGUGGAAACCGAGGAAAAAUCGGUUAGGUCCAGUGCGUUUUGACGCAGAGAAAUGAAUACUGGGGAUGGUGAUGGUAGUGGUGAUGGUGGUGAUGGUGAUGGUGAUGGUGAUGCCGAUGGUGAUGGUAAUGGUGGUGAGGAGAAUGUGGAAGAGAAAGAGAUAGAGGAGAGGGCUUAACAGUGAUAUGGAAAAAUUCGUAAUAUUUCCUACGGAUUCUACGUCGUGACUGUUCACAAAAUUUACGAUCGAUCGAUCUUAUUUGCAUUCACGUCCGGUUAACCGCCGCUGGUGUCGGCGUAUCAAUUUUUACGAGCCAUCAUCGAAUACUUUUUCAAACACGAGGAAAUCGAGACCGAGAACGAGAACGAGAAUGAGAACGAAAACGAGAACGAGAACGAGCCGAAGCUAGCAAGAGCUUUUCCUCUCAUUUUCGCCAAGGAUGCGGCUAUAAUUCAUGAAGUGGUGCUAAUUCCUUGGCAACCACCGUCGCACCGUCUCGUCAAGAGGCUUUGCGCGUCGAAACAGCUUCCCAUUUCACAGCGGAGUUAGGAAAUGUAUUGUUUUCUCGAAAGAGGAGGGAUUUUCGUACCCCCGGAAAAUCUGUCUAAUGGCUUCCUAAACGGCUCCUUCUCUAACUUUCAAGGCUGGAUAUAUAAUAAUUGUGGGAGAAUAAAAUGAAGAAUUAUUUUCAACGAUACAAAUGUAUAUAUAUUUUAUAAAUAUAUAUUUAUAUAUAUAAAUAUAUAUAAGUAUAUAUAUUAUAUAUUAUAAUGUAUAUAUAUAUAUAUAUAUAUAUAUAUAUAUGCAAAAUUGUGUAAAUAAAAUAUUACAUUUUCAUU